Molecule: ribosomal RNA, 249 nt
Filed under: uncultured bacterium
Lineage: Bacteria
Description: partial 16S ribosomal RNA
Rfam family: Bacterial small subunit ribosomal RNA
Source: RNAcentral
UACGUAGGGGGCAAGCGUUGUCCGGAUUUAUUGGGCGUAAAGAGCUCGUAGGCGGCCGUUCGCGUCGGAUGUGAAAGCUCGGGGCUCAACCCUGAGAGGCCAUUCGAUACGGAACGGCUAGAGGUAGGUAGGGGAGAGUGGAAUUCCUGGUGUAGCGGUGAAAUGCGUCGAUAUCCGCCGGAACACCAGUGGCGAAGGCGGCUGGCUGGAACGCCCCUGACGCUGAGGGACGAAGGCCGGGGGAGCGAA